CCUACGGGGGACAGCAGUGAGGAAUAUUGGUCAAUGGCCGGAAGGCUGAACCAGCCAUGCCGCGUGAAGGUCAGUGCCCUAUGGGCGUUAAACUUCUUUUGUGCGGGAGCAAUAAUGGUCACGUGUGGCCAGACGAGAGUACCGUACGAAUAAGCAUCGGCCAACGCCGUGCCAGCAGCCGCGGUAAUACGGGGGAUGCAAGCGUUUUCCGGAUUUAUUGGGGUUAAAGGGUGCGUAGGCUGUGAGGUAAGUCAGAGGUGAAAUGCCCCCGCUCAACGGGGUGAAGUGCCAUUGAUACUGCCUUGCUGGAAUGCGGAUGCAGUGGGAGGAAUGUGUGGUGUAGCGGUGAAAUGCAUAGAUAUCACACAGAACACCGAUUGCGAAGGCAUCUCACGAAUCCGCGAUUGACGCUGAUGCACGAAAGCGUGGGUAUCAAACAGGAUUAGAUACCCGUGUAGUC
This 460-nucleotide ribosomal RNA is filed under the name uncultured bacterium. RNAcentral describes it as "partial 16S ribosomal RNA". It matches the Rfam family "Bacterial small subunit ribosomal RNA", at positions 338 to 795 of the family's 1533-position model. The record is from RNAcentral.